AAAUAAAAAAAGAGACAAUGAAUACAAUGUUGACAAAUACAUAUUGGUGGUGGCACCCGUUACAACUCAGGCAGUCGUAAGGGAGCAGUGCUCGUGUGUAUAUAUACAUAUAUAAUAAAAAACAAAAAGAGCCCUGUC
This 138-nucleotide non-coding RNA is filed under the name uncultured Bacteroides sp. Its description in RNAcentral is "Bacteroidete tryptophan peptide leader RNA". It matches the Rfam family "Bacteroidete tryptophan peptide leader RNA". The record is from RNAcentral. Lineage: Bacteria; Pseudomonadati; Bacteroidota; Bacteroidia; Bacteroidales; Bacteroidaceae.